This is a long non-coding RNA of Harpia harpyja (harpy eagle), 396 nucleotides long. RefSeq lists it as uncharacterized. The record is from RefSeq and is a predicted model, not a curated record. The transcript has 3 exons. Lineage: Eukaryota; Metazoa; Chordata; Aves; Accipitriformes; Accipitridae.
CUCCCCCACUUCCUAUUAUUUAUUCCUCCAUCUCCAUCCCUGUUGUUUUGCUCAGUCUCUCUGCGCUUCUCUCUCUACACUGUUUUCCUGCUUCUUGUCCCUCUCUUGUUCCCAGCAUCCCAUUUUCUGGCUCCCUGUCUUGCACCUCUGUGUCCCUCUGUCCUUCCUCCUGCUUUACUCUUCCCUUUUAUCACCCCAUCCUGCUGCCUUUGGGCACUGAGCCUUGUAGCCAACUCAUUGCCAGGAUUUCUUAUAUGCAUUAAUGAAUAAAUUUUUCCUGCCUCCUCUGUGUCCCUGGAUGUGGUUGCUUGAGACUGGCUGGGCAUCGGUCAGUUGGUGGUUUCUUAUAGGCACCCUUUACAUACCAUGAAGUCUGCUAUAAGGUCUCCUGCAAAG